This is a long non-coding RNA of Gopherus flavomarginatus (Mexican gopher tortoise), 538 nucleotides long. RefSeq lists it as uncharacterized. The transcript has 2 exons. The record is from RefSeq and is a predicted model, not a curated record. Lineage: Eukaryota; Metazoa; Chordata; Testudines; Testudinidae.
CCCCCGCUGUUGCUUGGCCUCAGGCAGUUAUCUGCCGGCAACAGUUUUUGGCGCCCAACGUGGGGCAUUGAGGCUAAAAUUAGCCUUGCCUGGAUCCCUUCUGGUGGUCGACGGAUUGCGGCGACGACCGACGCCCAGCGCGCACCGGUGACUUCACCGGGGGCCUUGGCGGAGACGCAGUUCGACUGACCCCAGAGGGCACAACGGUGCAACGCGCUCGAGUAGUGGAGAAGCAGUUGAGGGCGACGGUGAGGAACCGGUCCCUUGGAUAAGCUUAACUGUCCAGUAAGAUCCAACAGUGUGCCUUUGUGACCCCGGAGCCGGUGUGGCUUGGUGACACUGAAGAAGCCGCAGGCAGCUGACCUGGACUGGAAUCUCUGAAAGAGAUGCUGCAGAAGAUUCCAGGGUGCAAGAGAACAGCCCUCCAAAGAGCGGAAGCAUGUUAGAAAUUCUGGACAAGCUGUAUACAGGAUAAUCUCCAGUCCACCUCUCCCCCCUUCUCUGAACAUUAUACACAGAAGUGGCCAGUCUGGACGUA